Molecule: ribosomal RNA, 497 nt
Filed under: uncultured bacterium
Lineage: Bacteria
Description: partial 16S ribosomal RNA
Rfam family: Bacterial small subunit ribosomal RNA
Source: RNAcentral
GAUGAACGCUGGCGGCGUGCCUAAUACAUGCAAGUCGAGCGAACAGACGAGGAGCUUGCUCCUCUGACGUUAGCGGCGGACGGGUGAGUAACACGUGGAUAACCUACCUAUAAGACUGGGAUAACUUCGGGAAACCGGAGCUAAUACCGGAUAAUAUAUUGAACCGCAUGGUUCAAUAGUGAAAGACGGUUUUGCUGUCACUUAUAGAUUGAUCCGCGCCCCAUUAGCUAGUUGGUAAGGUAACGGCUUACCAAGGCGACGAUGCGUAGCCGACCGGAGAGGGUGAUCGGCCACCCGGGAACUGAGACACGGUCCAGACUCCUAAGGGAGGCAGCAGUAGGGAAUCUUGAGCAAUGGGCGAAGGCCGGACGGAGCAACGCCGCGUGAGGGGUGAGGGACGUCGGAUCGUAGAUCGCUGUUAUUUGGGAAGAACAAAUGUGUAAGUACCUAGGCAUGUCGUGACGGUACCGAAUCAGAAAGCCACGGCUAACUACGUG